Molecule: ribosomal RNA, 429 nt
Filed under: Fusobacteriota bacterium
Lineage: Bacteria; Fusobacteriati; Fusobacteriota
Description: Fusobacteria bacterium partial 16S ribosomal RNA
Rfam family: Bacterial small subunit ribosomal RNA
Source: RNAcentral
UGGGGAAUAUUGCGCAAUGGGCGAAAGCCUGACGCAGCGACGCCGCGUGAGGGAUGAAGGUUUUCGGAUCGUAAACCUCUGUCAGAAGGGAAGAAACCGCACUGUGCUAAUCAGCAGUGCCUUGACGGUACCUUCAAAGGAAGCACCGGCUAACUCCGUGCCAGCAGCCGCGGUAAUACGGAGGGUGCAAGCGUUAAUCGGAAUUACUGGGCGUAAAGCGCACGUAGGCUGCUUUGUAAGUCAGGGGUGAAAUCCAACGGCUCAACCGUGGAACUGCCUUUGAUACUGCUUAGCUUGAAUCCGGGAGAGGGUGGCGGAAUUCCAGGUGUAGGAGUGAAAUCCGUAGAUAUCUGGAGGAACAUCAGUGGCGAAGGCGGCCACCUGGACCGGUAUUGACGCUGAGGUGCGAAAGCGUGGGGAGCAAACAGG